This 211-nucleotide ribosomal RNA is filed under the name Ligilactobacillus salivarius. RNAcentral's name for it is "partial 16S ribosomal RNA". It matches the Rfam family "Bacterial small subunit ribosomal RNA", at positions 83 to 288 of the family's 1533-position model. The record is from RNAcentral. Lineage: Bacteria; Bacillati; Bacillota; Bacilli; Lactobacillales; Lactobacillaceae.
GUAAGAAGUUGAGUGGCGGACGGGUGAGUAACACGUGGGUAACCUGCCUAAAAGAAGGGGAUAACACUUGGAAACAGGUGCUAAUACCGUAUAUCUCUAAGGAUCGCAUGAUCCUUAGAUGAAAGAUGGUUCUGCUAUCGCUUUUAGAUGGACCCGCGGCGUAUUAACUAGUUGGUGGGGUAACGGCCUACCAAGGUGAUGAUACGUAGCC